This 26-nucleotide small RNA is filed under the name Bombyx mori (domestic silkworm). Its description in RNAcentral is "ovarian small RNA-19629". Lineage: Eukaryota; Metazoa; Arthropoda; Insecta; Lepidoptera; Bombycidae. The record is from RNAcentral.
UAAUCAAGGCUUUUAGUCACAACGUG